GACGAACGCUGGCGGCGUGCUUAACACAUGCCAGUCGAACGGAAAGGCCCUGCUUUUGUGGGGUGCUCGAGUGGCGAACGGGUGAGUAACACGUGAGUAACCUGCCCUUGACUUUGGGAUAACUUCAGGAAACUGGGGCUAAUACCGGAUAGGAGCUCCUGCUGCAUGGUGGGGGUUGGAAAGUUUCGGCGGUUGGGGAUGGACUCGCGGCUUAUCAGCUUGUUGGUGGGGUAGUGGCUUACCAAGGCUUUGACGGGUAGCCGGCCUGAGAGGGUGACCGGCCACAUUAGGACUGAGAUACGGCCCAGACUCCUACGGGAGGCAGCAGUGGGGAAUAUUGCACAAUGGGCGGAAGCCUGAUGCAGCAACGCCGCGUGCGGGAUGACGGCCUUCGGGUUGUAAACCGCUUUCGCCUGUGACGAAGCGUGAGUGACGGUAAUGUGUAAAGAAGCACCGGCUAACUACGUG
RNAcentral lists this ribosomal RNA (468 nucleotides) under uncultured bacterium. Its description in RNAcentral is "partial 16S ribosomal RNA". It matches the Rfam family "Bacterial small subunit ribosomal RNA", at positions 28 to 507 of the family's 1533-position model. The record is from RNAcentral.